This 389-nucleotide ribosomal RNA is filed under the name Syndiniales sp. Its description in RNAcentral is "partial small subunit ribosomal RNA". It matches the Rfam family "Eukaryotic small subunit ribosomal RNA", at positions 582 to 975 of the family's 1831-position model. Lineage: Eukaryota; Dinophyceae; Syndiniales. The record is from RNAcentral.
AUUCCAGCUCCAAUAGCGUAUAUUAAAGUUGUUGCGGUUAAAAAGCUCGUAGUUGGAUUUCUGUUGAGGACGGCCGGUCCGCACUAUGUGCGUGUAUCUGGUUCGGCCUUGGCAUCCUCUUGAGGAACGUAUCUGCGCUUGAUUGCGUAGAGCGGUAUUCAAGACUUUUACUUUGAGGAAAUUAGAGUGUUCACGGCAGGCAAGCGCCUUGAAUACGUUAGCAUGGAAUGAUAAUAUAGGAUCUUGGUUCUAUUUUGUUGGUUUCUAGAGCUAAGGUAAUGAUUAAUAGGGAUAAUUGGGGGCAUUUGUAUUAACGCGUCAGAGGUGGAAUUCUUGGAUUGCGUUACGACAAACUACUGCGAAAGCAUUUGCCAAGGAUGUUUUCAUUA